GUGGGGAAUCUUCCGCAAUGGACGAAAGUCUGACGGAGCAACGCCGCGUGAGUGAUGAAGGUCUUCGGAUUGUAAAGCUCUGUUAAUCGGGACGAAAGAGCCUAGUGUGAAUAAUGCUAGGAAGUGACGGUACCGGAAUAGAAAGCCACGGCUAACUACGUGCCAGCAGCCGCGGUAAUACGUAGGUGGCAAGCGUUGUCCGGAAUUAUUGGGCGUAAAGCGCGCGCAGGCGGAUCUGCCAGUCUGUCUUAAAAGUUCGGGGCUUAACCCCGUGAUGGGAUGGAAACUACAGAUCUAGAGUAUCGGAGAGGAAAGUGGAAUUCCUAGUGUAGCGGUGAAAUGCGUAGAUAUUAGGAAGAACACCAGUGGCGAAGGCGACUUUCUGGACGAUGUCUGACGCUGAGGCGCGAAAGCUAGGGGAGCGAACGGGAUUAGAAACCCGGGUAGUCC
RNAcentral lists this ribosomal RNA (450 nucleotides) under uncultured bacterium. RNAcentral describes it as "partial 16S ribosomal RNA". It matches the Rfam family "Bacterial small subunit ribosomal RNA", at positions 354 to 796 of the family's 1533-position model. The record is from RNAcentral.